Molecule: long non-coding RNA, 7411 nt
Filed under: Eucalyptus grandis
Lineage: Eukaryota; Viridiplantae; Streptophyta; Magnoliopsida; Myrtales; Myrtaceae
Description: long non-coding RNA (EGRA_LNC003400)
Source: RNAcentral
CCACUGCAUAUAACUUAAAUCAUCUAUCAGUCUGUCAUUUUGUCCAUAUAUUGUUCACAUGUGAUUUCGUAGAUUUCCUAUGUAAGUCGAACGUUAGGACGGCUUGUGUUUGCAACAUGUAAACUAAUCCUUUACAUGAAAAAUGUGGGGCUAUUCUCGAUAAGAUUAGAUUGAAGGAGGUGAAGUAGCUGAAUCUUAAUUUUUUGAUUAACUUGUACCUUCAAUAUUAUUGCAUCUGCAGGUGGUAUGGCCUCAAACAUGUCCCCAGGAACACAUCUCACGUUCUCGCUAACUUCUAAAUUAGCCACCACAUGCGGAAGAUCAAAUAUUGUGCAUUCCAUGUGCGGAAAGGAGUUCGCGAUGGCCUUGGCCAUCGUCCCAGUUCCUCCGCCUACAUCGACCAACGAGGUUAUUCCCUCGAACACCCCUUUGUGCUCGUUAACCACCAUGCUAGCCACCAAUCGAGCAUCGCUAGCCAUGCCAUCGUUGAAUAAGCGAUCAAACCCCGGCUCUUGACCAGCAUACCUCCAAAACGACAUCCCUUGCACCAUUUCGAAUGGCGUCGGGUCGGCGUGGUUGUGGAACCACGCGCUCAAGCCAUGCCAUGGGUUUAUCAGAAUAGGGUCGAGCACGGACAGUGCGAACGGCGCAACAUUGGAGGGAUUGUCCGUAAGGAGGAGCUUGGACACGCGAUUGAGUACGUAGGCACCUUGACCGUCCGGCGCAAGCUUCUUCUGUUCGAAGAAUCCGGAGUGGACGAGGAUGCGCAUGAGGCGGUCGACGCAGUGAGCUCUGGAGGGGUGAAUUUGAAGUGCAGAGACCAAGGCGUCGAGGGUCAUAGGUUGGCCAUGGUGGUGGAUGGUGUCGGGAAUGCCUAACUGAAUGGUACAUUUCAAGCACAUGGAAUUGAUGAAAUUGAAGAUGUGGUUCCAUAUGUGAGCUUGAGCCAGUAGCUGCUGGCUUCCCAUCUCUCCAUUCACCAUAUCCAUGGUGCAAAGUUAUUAUCUCUCAACUCUAUAUUGCAAUUUCUUGCUUAUGAACUUCGAGAAUAUAAGAACGGUGCCUAUUUAUAAUGGUUUGGAAAGUGGGUAUAAAGCAUCCUACUGGGCAUACCUUCCGUCGGCCAAAUAAUUGACACAUGUUCACAUGAUACACGUUGAUACAGAUGGUUCCCAUAACAUUAAAAUAGCUUAGGUUCAUUUGAUUUUCCCUCGCUUUUAUACCUUGUAUAAUUAAUCAUUUCUUGUGGUCGAGAGAGUAAGGGAAAGGUCAUAUUUACCUCUGAUGGCCAAACCUAUGAAAACAUUGCGGUCAUUCGGAAGGGAGAUUUAGGAUGUUGAAUUAUUAAAUCGAGAACUAAACUGAACCAAGAUUUGGCCCAUCUAAUCCUAGACUCACCCGGGAUGGUGGGUCCAUGAACCGAUCAUGAAUACUUUGGUCAUAUAUUUGCCUCAUUUCAAAUUUCUCGUUUUUUUUAAUUAUAUAUUUUUGAGUAUUUUGGGGCCAGGUCCACCCCCAAGCUGGACAUAUUCUAGCGGACACGACCCACAAAUGAUGUUGGUAUUUUAAAUGGGUCAUUCCGUGCCGAAAAUCCGGGUCUUGACAUACAGUGAAACGGCAUGAAGAAGGAAGCCGAGAAAAGAGGGCAAAUACUAAAUAGCAGACUUACUAAAUCCACUUCCCAAUUAUGAGCACAAGCUUGCAAUACGUAGAAAAACUUCAAAAACUGCUUUCAAACUUGCGUACUUGUAAGACAUCUCCCUUGCCUGAUUUGGGGACUUUUUUCCAAAGCCAACAGCAAACCGAUAUUGCUUGCUAAUUUUAUAAUUAAACUUAUAUAUAUUCUAACCGGCUCAAGGGCCGUCAUUGGCUGGGGCAUCGCCCCAAGAUUGGGCCACCCCAGCCAACCCUCCCCCCACCUACUCAACAAUGAGAAGGAGACGGCGGCGGCGAGGGCUGAGCCCUCAAUCGCUGGCUGCAGUUCAUCUUUCACCUCUUUUUUUAUUUUAAAAAAAUGAUUUUAAAUUUAAUUUAAUUAAUUUUUAUAUUAAUUAUUUACCCACGUCGAUAGUAAAACCACGUCGUUUUGGCAUUUAUCUAGCCACGUAAGCACACAAAAUGAUGUCGUUUUGCACUUAGUUCGCAGGAAAAUCGUCACAUCAGUGUUUGGCCGGAUUUUAUUAUUAUUGGUACUUAAUUGAUCCAUUUUGCUCAAAUUUUGACACUUAAAUGUCACUUUCAUAACUUUUGACAUCUAAGUAUCUCCUUGUGCCAAGUUUUAACACUCUAGGUGUCCCAAAUUCCAAAAUUAACUGUACACAAAAGGUCUUGGGCCAUUUUGCAUCUCAAAUUAAAUUUUUGCCAUUUCUUUAAAGUUUUCUAGAACUUUUUUCUUCUCUUUUCCUUUUCCUUUUCUUUUUCCUUUUCCUUUCUUUCAUUUUUGUUUUUCCUUUGUUUCAAUUCCCUUUCCUGGUUGCUAGGGCCUCGGCAAUGGCCAGCGGAGGUCAACAGCCAAAGGCAAGGCCAUCGCGGUAGGGGUGUCAACGGUUCAGUUCGGUUCGAUUUUUCAAAAAAACCGAACCAAACCGAACCCUUAGGAAAAACUUCUAAACCGAACCGAAUAAAACCCUAACAGAAUAUGAACUGAACCGAAAUUUUGGUUUUGUUCGGUUCAGUUUUUCGACUUUUCGUUUUUAGCUUUUAGUUUUCGUUUUUUGCAUUUGUUUUUUGUUUUUGUUAUAUAUAUUUUUCGUUUCCAAGAAAUAAGCUCUUAUCGGUUCGGUUCAGUUAACCGAUAAAAACCGAACCGAUAAAAACAAUUUCGGUUUUUAAUGAAAACCGAACUGAAUGAAAACUGAACUUGAAAAAUCGAAUUUUUCAGUUCAGUUCGGUUCGGUUUGGUUCGGUUUUUGAGACCCAUACAUUGCGGCCCUCCCCCACGGUGACCGAUAGAGAAAAAUAAGGAAAAAAGAAAUGAGGAGAAAGGAAAGAAAACAGGAAGGAAGAAGAUAUUUAGAAAAUCAGUUCGCUUCCGGAAAGUUGUGGUUGCAAUCAAUGAUUAAUUGGACAUCUAGACCUGAGUCCACAAAGGCUGAGCGCAGGACCCCCUUCCCUUGCCCAAAUCCCAAGCACCUAGGGCCGGGUCCACAAAGGCCGUGCCUAGAUCCUCAAUGUUAGUGCUCGUGUUCCUAAUGCCUUUGCCCAAAUCCCUAGUGCCCAAGUUCAAGUCCAUUGAGGCCAAGGCCCUAGACCUUGGUGCCUAGGUCCAUUGAGGUUGGGCAUGGGAACCCAAUGGCUAGGCCUAAGCUCUAGUGCCUAGGCUUGGGUCCAUAGAGGUCGGACUUGAGUCUAUUGAGGUCGACCCCAAGACCCUAGUGCCUAUGCCUAGAUCCCUGCACUUGAGUGCUUGUGCCUACAUCCCCAGCACCUAAACCCAAACACAUUGAGGCUGAGACAAGUCCAUCGAGGUUGGGCCCAAGACCCCAAUGCUCGUGCUUAGAUCCCUUGUGCCCAAGCUUGGAUCCAUUGAGGCCUAGGCCUUAAUGCUAUGGAUUUGGGCAUGGGGAACUAGGAUCUUGAGCCAAUUAUCAGGGACCUAAGUAUGGGCACUGCAAUCCCUGGGCUUGCCCUAGAUGGACCCGAAGCCGGCCUUUAUGGACCCAGCUUAAUCGUCGGAGACUCGAACACAUGCACUAAUAUCACAGCCCAGCCUUAAUAUACUAGGCUCAAGUAUUGAGGACCUAACUUGAGUGCCAAGUCCACAGCUUAUCCUCUGUGGAUUUAGGCCUAAGCCCAAGCACUAAGGUCUAGCGCUUAACUUUUAUGAUCCUCAAGCCCGGCUGUCGAGGAUCCUUAGGCCCGCCCUUUAUGGUCUUGAGACUGAUGUCUAUGCUCUUGCUCGAGACCGAACUGCCCGUGCCAAGAUCAAGGUCCAUCGAGGCUAGACUUGGGAUCCUUGUGCCUAUGCCUAGUUCCCCGCCCCUGCCCAAGUUACCAGCAGCUGAAUAGUAUAUGCAUACUAAGGAUAAUUAAAUCAGAUUUUCCUUUUCAAAUGAUGAAAAAUAUUUUCCUUUUUUUUUUUUUUUUAGGUUUCAUCCAAAUAUUAGAAAAUAUUAUUAUUCUUCUAGAAAGUGAUUUCCUAAAAGAUAUUUUCCAGAAAUGUAAUAUAUUUCAAAUAUUUUAUAGAAAUGUAUUUCACAAAAUCUUAAGAUGUUCAUACUUGCUUUUCACAGUUGAGGAAAAUAAGUUUGACCAAAUACAAAAUUACUUCUUAGAAUUACCGAUAGGAAAAUAUAGACUUAACAAUCCCAAGUGCCUUGCCCAAUAAAGAUUGAGUUCUAGAUGUUUGAAAACGUGGAAUCAAGUCCUAGACUUUUAAAACUAAUCCAAUUAAAUCCUUCCGACAACCAACAUUGAUGUGGCAGUAUGGCACAAGCAAUCUCGCAUGGUGGUGGACCUCUAUGCAAGUGUCGCACAACCCUUGCCUGCAGGGGGUAAGGGUUGCUUGACCCGCGCACAAUGGUGACCGAUGGUGGAGCCACCUCCAUGUGUGAGAGCCCCCACCUGAAGCCGACAAGGGUCAGCAAUUUCAGAAUAGUUCAUAAUAUUGGGAUUAUCGAAUGGUAUCUUCGAGGUUCAUCUGUGUCGAGGAUUUACCAAAGGGUUUUGUGUCCAUUUCCAGGCGAUUUUUCAGGUUUAUGGUCUGUUUGGAGAGUAGGGGAUAAUUCGUGGACUACUCGGAUAAUUGGGGUUUUGGGGUUGCAUGUGGAGUGUUGAUUUAAGGGGUAUUUUCCAAAAUGAGACCACUUUAUUUUUGGUGAAGUGGGCUAACAUGGACCGAAAGAAAUUAUGGAAAUCUCUAUUGAUUGCAUCCUAGCAAGCCCAUAUCCAUCACCAGCAACAGCACUUGAGUUCACAACUACAGAACACAUGAUAAAAGGCUGCAUGAGGAGGAGGAGAAAGCCGACUCUAACGUAGAGGUUCGGGUGAGGCUUCGACCUUCGGCUUUUCAGGCGCGCCAGACCAACGGGCCAUAGAUCACGAGGAUGGCGUAGAGAUCCAUCGCCAGCGCGGCGGCCACGAGGAGCAGGUGGCCGUGGAAGCAGAAUGUCAAGGCGGGGAUCAACAGAUGACUCGCCGUGGAUACAAUGGCCAGCGCGCUGGAUAGUAUCACCGCUCUGAAGGUCCAGUCGUGCGGAUCGAGGCUCUUUGGCUGAAUCAGGAAGAUACAGACCACGGUGACAAUCUGCAUCCCCAGCAGCACCCUCUCCAGGAAGUGGUCUCUAGGGAUACUCACCUCCAUUGCCAAUUCUUCCCAUCAGCGACCUGACCUUGGAGAUGCCAGGUUGACCGCAAGAGAGGGCCGGAGAGAGUACACCGUCGUCUGAUCGGAGACCUGGUUAUGAUACGUGUUUUGGGCGCUGGAAUUGAUGCAACGGGACCUCCAGGUUUAUACACGAGCAGAGUUCGAAUCCGAGAGGGACGGUCUUUUCAAAUCGUCUAUCUUUUAAGAUAAAACCAACCAAAACUUUAUCUUUGGGGGUGAUAAGCACCAUGCAACUUCUCAAUCCCAACGUAACUCAUACGUAAUUGACAAGCAAACCGAAAUUUCGAAUCCAUUAACGCUAAUCUUGCAGGGAAACAAGAGGUUUUUUGCAACAUUGAUCCUACUUUUCCAUUAAGUUCAACAUCCAUAUCCAUAUGAUGAUCAUAUCCAUCUACUUGUAUCAAUUUUGUCUUCCGAUCGAGUAUUUUAACUCGCGAUUCGAUUACUUUAAAUCACACUGCAGCUAAAAAAGCAAGAGAAAUUACAUCAUUAAGAUGACAUUAAUUUCAUAAUUAUGCAUAAGGUAUGGCGGAAAAAAUCGAUGGACAUCAUGUAGAUUAGUUUAAUUAGACUAAUAGCGGUCCACCGUGGAAAAAAAGAUCGAUGGAAACGCUCGGAAUUUGCAUACUCAGCUGUCUUGAAAUCUGAAGAGGGGGAAAUUAUCUUAAGGCAUUUCGCUUCACGAUAGAGAAGCAACUUUGUAAGUGGUAGACUGAGUUAAAUUAGACUAAGUUGCAUCCCCAGCAAAAUAGAAGAUUCAUUUCUUAUCAUGUUGUUGCAUCGGGGUCGACACGGGCUUGACCGAUUCUCGACUACUCCCCCCAGUUCUUUCACAAAAACUGGACUGGGCCUUGCUCCGAUUCCCGGUUCAACCCUGUUGAACCAGCCGGUCCGAUCCAGGUCUGAAAACAUUCAUAACAUCACUUUCCAUUUCAUUGCACACACAUAGGAAGUCUCUCUAUGCAUGGAAUGAAGGGAUUUAUUUUUUUUUUGGUCGAAAUGGAAUGAAGGGAUUGUUUUGCGGCUAGCAGACCCAUUUUCUCUGAGGACCGCAAAACUCCUGGACAGGACCCGCCAUCAGGGUGCCCUGUCAACUCCAAGAAUAAGACUACCUUCCUUCAGCAACAAUGUUUAACAACUUCCCCCAUGCUUGAAGCAAUCAUUCAAUUCAUACGAGAGAGAGUGAAAAACUUACAAUAUAGAACAUUUUAGAAAUUCAGGUGCCCAAGGUCUCAACUUCCACACUGUGUGUGGCUAGAAAAGGAUCACACUCCAAUCGAUUCAAACGACAGCCACUUGCUUCAACUGCUAAAUAUGCUUAUCUGAAUGAGCGACUUAAUCACGCCAUUCUCGCAUGCUCAUACAUCGCUAAACCCUUACUGAAAUAUGUAUUUUCAUGUGUGUGGCUAGAGAAGCCUUAUUUACUACUGAUCUUUAACUUACCGCAAGCUAUAAGAACUAGAGCAUGAAUUGGCAAGUAUUGAUAAUCGAUCAUGAAGGGUAGACCUCAAUAAGAGAUCGCAAGCCAAGUACAGGGGUGAUCUUGUAGUCCCCAAAGCCAGCAGCGACGAAGAGCUUAGCCCAUUCUGCUUCAUUCCUCUCCCUCCCCGACGUGAGGGUCAUCAUCAACAUAUCAUAGAAGAGCUGGGUUUCGACCAUCUCUUUGUCGCUCUUCGUGUUGUCCAUCACCAUUUCAAUUAUAAUUACCUUCUUUUUCUUGCCCUCGCCUUUGCCUAAGGCCUCCCUGCAUCGCUUCAGUACCUUCACAGCGUCUUCAUCGCUCCAAUCAUGGAGUAUCCACUGCAUAUAACUUAAAUCAUCUAUCAGUCUGUCAUUAUGUCCAUAUAUUGUUCACAUGUGAUUUCGUAGAUUUCCUAUGUAAGUCGAACGUUAGGACGGCUUGUGUUUGCAACAUGUAAACUAAUCCUUUACAUGAAAAACGUGGGGCUAUUCUCGAUAAGAUUAGAUUGAAGGAGGUGAAGUAGCUGAAUCUUAAUUUUUUGAUUAACUUGUACCUUCAAUAUUAUUGCAUCUGCAGGUGGUAUGGCCUCAAACAUGUCCCCAGGAACACAUCUCACGUUCUCG